GUAACUUCCUAGCUCAGUUGGUUAGAGCGUGGUGCUGAUAAUGCCAAGGUUGCAGGUUCGAUCCCCAGAUGGAACA
This 76-nucleotide transfer RNA is filed under the name Podarcis lilfordi (Lilford's wall lizard). RNAcentral's name for it is "tRNA.Ile". Lineage: Eukaryota; Metazoa; Chordata; Lepidosauria; Squamata; Lacertidae. The record is from RNAcentral.